UACGGAGGGUGCAAGCGUUAUCCGGAUUCACUGGGUUUAAAGGGUGCGUAGGUGGGUUAGUAAGUCAGUGGUGAAAUCUCCGAGCUUAACUUGGAAACUGCCAUUGAUACUAUUAAUCUUGAAUAUUGUGGAGGUCAGCGGAAUAUGUCAUGUAGCGGUGAAAUGCUUAGAUAUGACAUAGAACACCAAUUGCGAAGGCAGCUGGCUACGCAUAUAUUGACACUGAGGCACGAAAGCGUGGGGAUCAAACAGG
RNAcentral lists this ribosomal RNA (253 nucleotides) under uncultured bacterium. Its description in RNAcentral is "partial 16S ribosomal RNA". It matches the Rfam family "Bacterial small subunit ribosomal RNA", at positions 524 to 776 of the family's 1533-position model. The record is from RNAcentral.